UCUAUACAUUGGUGGCCCAAA
Molecule: unclassified non-coding RNA, 21 nt
Filed under: Mus musculus (house mouse)
Lineage: Eukaryota; Metazoa; Chordata; Mammalia; Rodentia; Muridae
Description: oocyte_clustered_small_RNA14212
Source: RNAcentral